UUUAACUGAAGAGUUUGAUCAUGGCUCAGAUUGAACGCUGGCGGCAGGCUUAACACAUGCAAGUCGAGCGGGGAAGGGUAGCUUGCUACCUGACCUAGCGGCGGACGGGUGAGUAAUGCUUAGGAAUCUGCCUAUUAGUGGGGGACAACAUCUCGAAAGGGAUGCUAAUACCGCAUACGUCCUACGGGAGAAA
This 193-nucleotide ribosomal RNA is filed under the name Acinetobacter seifertii. RNAcentral's name for it is "partial 16S ribosomal RNA". It matches the Rfam family "Bacterial small subunit ribosomal RNA", at positions 1 to 205 of the family's 1533-position model. The record is from RNAcentral. Lineage: Bacteria; Pseudomonadati; Pseudomonadota; Gammaproteobacteria; Moraxellales; Moraxellaceae.